GACGAACGCUGGCGGCGUGCUUAACACAUGCAAGUCGAACGGAAAGGCCCUGCUUUUGUGGGGUGCGCGAGUGGCGAACGGGUGAGUAACACGUGAGUAACCUGCCCUUGACUUUGGGAUAACCUCAGGAAACUGGGGCUAAUACCGGAUAGGAGCUCCUGCUGCAUGGUGGGGGUUGGAAAGUUUCGGCGGUUGGGGAUGGACUCGCGGCUUAUCAGCUUGUUGGUGGGGUAGUGGCUUACCAAGGCUUUGACGGGUAGCCGGCCUGAGAGGGUGACCGGCCACAUUGGGACUGAGAUACGGCCCAGACUCCUACGGGAGGCAGCAGUGGGGAAUAUUGCACAAUGGGCGGAAGCCUGAUGCAGCGACGCCGCGUGCGGGAUGACGGCCUUCGGGUUGUAAACCGCUUUCGCCUGUGACGAAGCGUGAGUGACGGUAAUGGGUGAAGAAGCACCGGCUAACUACGUG
Molecule: ribosomal RNA, 468 nt
Filed under: uncultured bacterium
Lineage: Bacteria
Description: partial 16S ribosomal RNA
Rfam family: Bacterial small subunit ribosomal RNA
Source: RNAcentral